GUCGCAUGUGGUUUUUUGAGCAGAUGUGGCCUGGUUUUGUGAGGUUUUUUGCAGCAUCUUUGCAUUUCUGAGAGUCUUUUUAUCAUUUGACUGAGUGGGCAUGUUGGUUUCCUCAGAAGUCUUUUGAGUUUGUUUAGGUGAUUCUCAUACUUGAAAGCACUGAAGUUGUCAAGGACACCAUGCUUUUUCCCAUCAUCUGCAAGAUGUACAAGGCAGAGUGCAUUGUAGGACAAGAAUUGUGGACCAUACAGUUGACCAAAGUGAGAGACAAAGAGCACCACCUACAAGUCAGAGGACCCAUCUUAAGCCACAAGAGAAGAAGCCGUCUCAUGAUUCCGAGGCACACAAGGUGCAUGUAGUCGAGGGGGAAACCAGAGACCAUGUUUAGGGAUGUUUCUUCAAGAGGUACAAACCAUCCUGUGUGCAUUUUUCACAUCCGUGAUAGCCUGUGUGACCUUUAACAUUUUUCAGGAAUGCACGGGCAGGUGCAUCACAGACCAUCGAAGAGAUGUCCCUAGGAUGGGCCAGAACUGUGUUGCUGAGCUCUUAUAGAGAGGCAAACCAUCAAUGCUGACCUGAAGCUCCAGCAUGUGAAUGUUGCGCAGAAUGUCAACAUUCAGAUGUAGCACCUCUGCAAUUGAAUUCAGCACUCCGAAAUGGCAUUCGAUUGGCUGGUAGGUGCUGAUGUCGCGCUGCAAGAACAACAUGGCACGGGUUCAAAGCUUUA
This is a long non-coding RNA of Carassius carassius (crucian carp), 727 nucleotides long. RefSeq lists it as uncharacterized. NCBI's taxonomy places the organism in Eukaryota, Metazoa, Chordata, Actinopteri, Cypriniformes, Cyprinidae. The record is from RefSeq and is a predicted model, not a curated record. The transcript is spliced from 5 exons.